UCCGGUGUGGUCUAGUGGCUAUGAUAUUGCGCUUUCAAGGUUUAUCACCUGUAAGCACCGCAAGGAUCGGGGUUCGAUUCCCCGCAUCGGAG
Transfer RNA from Drechmeria coniospora, 92 nucleotides. It matches the Rfam family "tRNA". From Rfam's summary of the family: Transfer RNA (tRNA) molecules are approximately 80 nucleotides in length. Their secondary structure includes four short double-helical elements and three loops (D, anti-codon, and T loops). The record is from Rfam. Lineage: Eukaryota; Fungi; Ascomycota; Sordariomycetes; Hypocreales; Ophiocordycipitaceae.